Molecule: ribosomal RNA, 497 nt
Filed under: uncultured bacterium
Lineage: Bacteria
Description: partial 16S ribosomal RNA
Rfam family: Bacterial small subunit ribosomal RNA
Source: RNAcentral
GAUGAACGCUGGCGGCGUGCCUAAUACAUGCAAGUCGAGCGAACAGACGAGGAUCUUGCUCCUCUGACGUUAGCGGCGGACGGGUGAGUAACACGUGGAUAACCUACCUAUAAGACUGGGAUAACUUCGGGAAACCGGAGCUAAUACCGGAUAAUAUAUUGAACCGCAUGGUUCAAUAGUGAAAGACGGUUUUGCUGUCACUUAUAGAUGGAUCCGCGCCGCAUUAGCUAGUUGGUAAGUUAACGGCUUACCAAGGCAACGAUGCGUAGCCGACCUGAGAGGGUGAUCGGCCACACGGGAACUGAGACACGGUCCAGACUCCUACGGGAGGCAGCAGUAGGGAAUCUUCCGCAAUGGGCGAAAGCCUGGCGGAGCAACGCCGAGUGAGUGAUGAAGGUCUUCGGAUCGUAAAACUCUGUUAUUAGGGAAGAACAAAUGUGUAAGUAACUAUGCACGUCUUGACGGUAACUAAUCAGAAAGCCACGGCUAACUACGUG